GCAUUAAGAAUGGCUAAAAGAGUAGGUACAGCAGUAACACUUGCAAAAUAUUCUACCAUAGAGAUAUUAGAUAAAAGAAAGGCAGUACUGCAUCUGAUCUCAACAAUAGAAUCUUCUACCAUUGAAUCCUCACCCUCGACCAUCUCAACUUUGGCAGCCAGAGUUGGGCACUGUGCAGGAAACAACGUAAUUGGAUUUAAUCCUGCAAUGAAAAGGUGAGUUUUUGAGACAUCAGAAAUUUUGGAUUCUUGGAUGCUCUCUGCUUUUUCGUCAAUGAGAAACAUUGAGUAAUAACGGGAACUGUAAGGAAAUUUAGCAAAAAUAGCA
Molecule: long non-coding RNA, 327 nt
Organism: Gossypium arboreum
Lineage: Eukaryota; Viridiplantae; Streptophyta; Magnoliopsida; Malvales; Malvaceae
Exons: 2
Source: RefSeq, a predicted model, not a curated record